AAAUUGAAGAGUUUGAUCAUGGCUCAGAUUGAACGCUGGCGGUAGGCCUAACACAUGCAAGUCGAACGGUAACAGGAAGAAGCUUGCUUC
This 90-nucleotide ribosomal RNA is filed under the name Escherichia coli. RNAcentral describes it as "partial 16S ribosomal RNA". It matches the Rfam family "Bacterial small subunit ribosomal RNA", at positions 1 to 86 of the family's 1533-position model. The record is from RNAcentral. Lineage: Bacteria; Pseudomonadati; Pseudomonadota; Gammaproteobacteria; Enterobacterales; Enterobacteriaceae.